Molecule: ribosomal RNA, 508 nt
Filed under: uncultured bacterium
Lineage: Bacteria
Description: partial 16S ribosomal RNA
Rfam family: Bacterial small subunit ribosomal RNA
Source: RNAcentral
GAUGAACGCUAGCUACAGGCUUAACACAUGCAAGUCGAGGGGAAACGAUAGGGAAAGCUUGCUUUUUCUAGGCGUCGACCGGCGCACGGGUGAGUAACGCGUAUCCAACCUGCCCACCACUUGGGAAUAACCUUGCGAAAGUAAGACUAAUACCCAAUGAUAUCUCUAGAAGACAGCUGAAGGAGCUUAAAGAUUUAUGGGUGAUGGAUGGGGAUGCGUGUGAUUAGCUUGUUGGCGGGGUACGGGCCCACCAAGGCGACGAUCAGUAGGGGUUCUGAGAGGAAGGUCCCCCACAUUGGAACUGAGACACGGUCCAAACUCCUACGGGAGGCAGCAGUGAGGAAUAUUGGUCAAUGGGCGAGAGCCUGAACCAGCCAAGUAGCGUGCAGGAUGACGGCCCUAUGGGUUGUAAACUGCUUUUAUAAGGGAAUAAAGUGAGCCUCGUGAGGCUUUUUGCAUGUACCUUAUGAAUAAGGACCGGCUAAUUCCGUGCCAGCAGCCGCCGUAA